Molecule: ribosomal RNA, 640 nt
Filed under: uncultured beta proteobacterium
Lineage: Bacteria; Pseudomonadati; Pseudomonadota; Betaproteobacteria
Description: bacterial SSU rRNA
Rfam family: Bacterial small subunit ribosomal RNA
Source: RNAcentral
CUGGCUCAGAUUGAACGCUGGCGGAAUGCUUUAACAUGCAAGUCGAACGGCAGCACGGACUUCGGUCUGGUGGCGAGUGGCGAACGGGUGAGUAACAUAUCGGAACGUAUCCAAUAAUGGGGGAUAACUAAUCGAAAGGUUGGCUAAUACCGCAUACGCCCUGAGGGGGAAAGCUAGGGAUCUUCGGACCUGGCGUUAAUGGAGCGGCCGAUAUCUGAUUAGCUAGUUGGUGAGGUAAAGGCUCACCAAGGCGACGAUCAGUAGCUGGUCUGAGAGGACGACCAGCCACACUGGAACUGAGACACGGUCCAGACUCCUACGGGAGGCAGCAGUGGGGAAUUUUGGACAAUGGGCGCAAGCCUGAUCCAGCCAUUCCGCGUGAGUGAAGAAGGCCUUCGGGUUGUAAAGCUCUUUCGCAAGGGAAGAAAACUUAUCCUCUAACAUAGGAUGAGGUUGACGGUACCUUGAUAAGAAGCACCGGCUAACUACGUGCCAGCAGCCGCGGUAAUACGUAGGGUGCGAGCGUUAAUCGGAAUUACUGGGCGUAAAGCGUGCGCAGGCUGUUUUGUAAGUCAGAUGUGAAAUCCCUGGGCUCAACCUAGGAACUGCGUUUGAAACUACAAGACUAGAAUAUGUCAGA